GCUACUGUGGCUCAGUCGGCAGAGCGCGUCCUUGGUAAGGACGAGGUCACCGGUUCGAUUCCGGUCAGUAGCUCCA
This 76-nucleotide transfer RNA is filed under the name Bacillota bacterium. Its description in RNAcentral is "tRNA-Thr". It matches the Rfam family "tRNA". Rfam says of the family: Transfer RNA (tRNA) molecules are approximately 80 nucleotides in length. Their secondary structure includes four short double-helical elements and three loops (D, anti-codon, and T loops). Further hydrogen bonds mediate the characteristic L-shaped molecular structure. tRNAs have two regions of fundamental functional importance: the anti-codon, which is responsible for specific mRNA codon recognition, and the 3' end, to which the tRNAs corresponding amino acid is attached (by aminoacyl-tRNA synthetases). tRNAs cope with the degeneracy of the genetic code in two manners: having more than one tRNA (with a specific anti-codon) for a particular amino acid; and 'wobble' base-pairing, i.e. permitting non-standard base-pairing at the 3rd anti-codon position. The record is from RNAcentral. RNAcentral also lists the same sequence under 4 other names. Lineage: Bacteria; Bacillati; Bacillota.